UUUUUAGUGUAAGUAUGUCCCAUGGAAUAUUUGGGACAUACUUACACUAGAA
Non-coding RNA from Papio anubis (olive baboon), 52 nucleotides. The record is from Rfam. NCBI's taxonomy places the organism in Eukaryota, Metazoa, Chordata, Mammalia, Primates, Cercopithecidae.